RNAcentral lists this ribosomal RNA (465 nucleotides) under uncultured bacterium. Its description in RNAcentral is "partial 16S ribosomal RNA". It matches the Rfam family "Bacterial small subunit ribosomal RNA", at positions 338 to 795 of the family's 1533-position model. The record is from RNAcentral.
CCUACGGGAGGCAGCAGUGGGGAAUAUUGCGCAAUGGGCGAAAGCCUGACGCAGCGACGCCGCGUGAGGGAUGAAGGUCUUCGGAUCGUAAACCUCUGUCAGCAGGGAAGAACGGUCACUGUGCUAAUCAGCAGUGAAUUGACGGUACCUGCAAAGGAAGCACCGGCUAAUUCCGUGCGAGCAGCCGCGGUAAUACGGAGGGUGCGAGCGUUAAACGGAAUUACUGGGCGUAAAGCGCUCGUAGUCGGUAUGGCAAGUCAAGGGGUAAAUCCCCGCGCUCAACGUGGGAACUGCCUUUGAAACUGGCAAACUGGAGUGUGUGAGAGGCUAGUGGAAUUCCAGGUGUAGGAGUGAAAUCCGUAGAUAUCUGGAAGAACUUCAGUGGCGAAGGCGACUAUCUGGCACAUAACUGACGCUGAGGAGCGAAAGCGUGGGUAGCAAACAGGAUUAGAUACCCUUGUAGUC